GCUAGUGUCCCUGGGUAAUGUAGGAAAUCUCGCCGUAUAACGUUCGUCAGAGCAGCGGUUUACCGUCCAUAAGUUACUGUACUCGGGCGCUACUAGCCAAAUUGGCGGGUAGGUAUUUUUUUCUACUAGCCAAAAUUAAUUUUCACCCGUGUUUGGCGUGUUGGCGUGUGUUAAUUUAGAGCCCUGGAUGUGUUUAUAAAUGAUGUGGCCAUUUUGUCGAAUGAUAAAGUGAAGUGAAGUAAAAAUGACGAGGGAUGUGGUCUACAGCCUACAGCUACACUUCAAGUGGUUUACAGAUAUUAUGGCUUCAGGUUCGUCACAACUGAAGAAAUCGUUUGAAUGAAAUGUGAAAGCUCCUCACGCUCCCAAAACCUCUUGGGACUGAGAUUAAAAGACAUUGUGGACUAUGAGUGCUGUGGUGGACGGAUGAGUCUCCGUCUCCCAAGACAUUUUCAUUUCCUCAGCGCGGCCAUUUAGAACAGGACAGAGAGGCGGGGAAGGAUCGGCAAACGACCCGGGCCAAAAUCAAACGCGGGUGGCCAGCGUAGCACUCCAGUGCCCAGUCGUUCGAGCCAGUCCUGGGCUGAGCCAUGCCUGUGCACCUAUUGCAUCACCGACCAUCAAAUGCACCAUGUAAUCACAGACUGCGCCCUGGCCCGCCUUCCAUCCUAAUCCUUUUUUUUAGAGGGCGAGGUACUGGAAGACUUUGAUUUUCGCAGACAUUAAAAGUGGCAGAAUGGGACCAGUCCCUGACUAUCUCAAA
Engraulis encrasicolus (European anchovy) is the source of this 763-nucleotide long non-coding RNA. RefSeq lists it as uncharacterized. NCBI's taxonomy places the organism in Eukaryota, Metazoa, Chordata, Actinopteri, Clupeiformes, Engraulidae. The record is from RefSeq and is a predicted model, not a curated record. The transcript has 3 exons.